UCCUCUCCGUUUGUUAUGACU
Molecule: non-coding RNA, 21 nt
Organism: Caenorhabditis elegans
Lineage: Eukaryota; Metazoa; Nematoda; Chromadorea; Rhabditida; Rhabditidae
Source: Ensembl